UGUUGUGAAAUGUUGGGUUAAGUCCCGCAACGAGCGCAACCCUUAUCCUUUGUUGCCAGCGGUCCGGCCGGGAACUCAAAGGAGACUGCCAGUGAUAAACUGGAGGAAGGUGGGGAUGACGUCAAGUCAUCAUGGCCCUUACGACCAGGGCUACACACGUGCUACAAUGGCGCAUACAAAGAGAAGCGACCUCGCGAGAGCAAGCGGACCUCAUAAAGUGCGUCGUAGUCCGGAUUGGAGUCUGCAACUCGACUCCAUGAAGUCGGAAUCGCUAGUAAUCGUGGAUCAGAAUGCCACGGUGAAUACGUUCCCGGGCCUUGUACACACCGCCCGUCACACCAUGGGAGUGGGUUGCAAAAGAAGUAGGUAGCUUAACCUUCGGGAGGGCGCUUACCACUUUGUGAUUCAUGACUGGGGUGAAGUCGUAACAAGGUAACCGUAGGGGAACCUGCGGUUGGAUCACCUCCUUACCUUAAAGAAGC
Molecule: ribosomal RNA, 482 nt
Filed under: Escherichia coli
Lineage: Bacteria; Pseudomonadati; Pseudomonadota; Gammaproteobacteria; Enterobacterales; Enterobacteriaceae
Description: bacterial SSU rRNA
Rfam family: Bacterial small subunit ribosomal RNA
Source: RNAcentral